GCCCGGCUGCUGCCUUCCUCAGGCUCGCGUGGUGCGGGUGCGGGAGCGGGUCCGGGCUGCGGCUGCGGGGCUGGAGGCGGCGGCUGAGCGGCGGGGAAGAGACCAAAGCGCCGCAGUCGUGAAGCAGAGGAGCAGAUCCAGAGCGCUGUGCGUUUAAUUUAUGAGCCACUCCACGCUAAAAGGAUGAAAACAUGGGACUUAAGUUCUCCUGCCUGAAAGGCUUUAAAUCAUGUGUGAGCAGCGGGAGCAGCCAGACACCCGUGGUGAACAGCAAACACCUGAGAGUCCCGGCCAUUAUCAUCACACCUCCUACCCCCACGGGCAUGACGCUGUCCAGAGACGCCAGGCGGCCAGGUGAAGAUCCGCCGCACAACUGCUGAGCCAGAUGCUGUGAGACUAGGAGCAGCGCAGAGCGCGAGGCGAGGGCCGGAGAGUGCAUGAAAGAGCCGGCGCUGGUUCGCAGGCCCCGUGAACAGCUUGCACGGGAACCCAUCUGUGCCGUGUCUUUCCCCCGUUCCUCCCCCUCCCUUUAACCAGGUUUAUUAAAGAUUUAUUAAUGGAUCUGCAUACACCUCACUACUGGGACUGUCACACUGUUCCGAACUCCAGCAAGCUGUGGCCUGUUAAGUAAUUAGCCAGGCAGCUCCUCUCUGGGAGCGAUGGAGCAGACUGACGGCUGGGGCGGGGGAGACGGCUGCAAUGCUGCGGCACAGUGAUUUGGAGGUGGCUUUUCCGGCGCAGGCCCAGCCGGCAGCCUCCCCUUGGCCAUUUAAAUCACCAUAAAAGGGCUUGGCUGGGGCUGAAGCUAAAUCAAGGGGCAGGCGGCAGGAGCAUUCUCUGCCCUGGUCACCGAGAUCCUUUCCACGGCUCCGGGUUGUUCUCAUGGAGCCUCCAUGCCCUCAGUGAGGCAGUGGGAUAUGUGUCGCGUCCCGCCCUGAUGGAAGCCGAGCGGCCCAAGUUUUGGCUGGGCUCACCAUCCCGCAGGCUGGCAGGGUGGAAUGGUUCCACUUCAAGUGCCAGAGCGCACCGGGGAAGAUGCUGAACAUUUUUAGCAGCAGGCGACCACUGUGCUGCAACCCAUAGGCAAGGCUGGUGGCUCCCGAUCUAGGAAAGGAGCAUGAGCCGGGAUGGAAGGGACAGAUCACCGCCAUCGGCUCAGAGAGGCCGGGUGCCAGCCCUCUCCUGGUGGCCGGGAGAUGAGCACUACAGUGCUUGACAUGGCGACAUCUGACCAGAGCGCCGUGUUCACGGGAAGGACCAGGAAAACCUGACCUCAGCCCCAGCCGUCACCUGAACGUGGGUUGUCCCAGGACUUCAGCUGCAUAGACCCAGAGACGACGGGAGUGUCACAAUGUUUUUUGUACCAAGUUCAUGCUCUGGCAUUUCUGAUGUACCAAACCCAGGUGGCCAAAGGUGGGGGAAUCCCAGCUAGGUUCACGGUGGGGUCGGGAGGUUUGGAUCUAUUUGAGGAGGGGCAGAUGCAAGCCUCUGAUGGGAAUACAAGCCUGCCAUCAGUUUCAGUGUGUGGCAACCUUGCUUCCGUGACCACUUUUUUCAGCAUGACCUGAGCAUGUGCCCUGCUGCUCUGUGCGGAUAGAUACCAGUAGACCAAGGAAGAGCCCAUCUGAGCUUCACAGAGUGGUGGAAGGAGGGAGCUGCUUUGUGUAGAGGUUACCUAGAGGAUUUGGGCUACUGGGACUCUCCCCAUCUGCAUCUGCUGGCCCAGGCAGCACUUUCUUUGCUGCUGGAAGUGGCUAGAUUGGGAUGCUGCCGACUGCGGUUUGUGCCUGGAGUGAUCUCCCACAACCCCCUGGCAGGCCAGCCUGAUCCAGGAUCUCUGAGGGGCGGGGGCAUGGAAUCCCUCCCCUCCCAGCAGAGAGAGCGAGGCAUGGAGAGUCCCGGUGCAGCUGGGCAGCCCUUCGCAGCUGGCUUGGGCGCUGAUGACGCAUGCGUAUCCUUCGCCCUUUCCUCGCCAACACAUGGGCAUGCAGUGUGGGGAGGGGAGCAGAUGCGCAGAACUGUGAGCUACCGUGGCAGAGUCGCUGUGAGAUAUAGCGAGGAGAACAACCUGAGAAUGCCCCAGCCUGACAAAGGGACUGAAUUCACCAAGGGGCAGAGUCUGCUGCCUCUAGGGGUAGGGGCUUCUAUCCCAGUCUAUGCCACCAAUGCAGGCUCGUCUCAUGCACUGGUGGGAUCCUAACCAUGUCAUGAGGGUGAAGGGGCAUGUUUUAAAGUGGACUGUCUUGGCACUAUUUUAAAAAGGGCUAGAAGUGAUUUAUAAG
Mauremys reevesii (Reeves's turtle) is the source of this 2282-nucleotide long non-coding RNA. RefSeq lists it as uncharacterized. The transcript is spliced from 3 exons. The record is from RefSeq and is a predicted model, not a curated record. NCBI's taxonomy places the organism in Eukaryota, Metazoa, Chordata, Testudines, Geoemydidae.